GGUGUCCCGGUUUUUGAAAUCUAGUAUAUCGAAUUGAAUGAGAUUUCUCAUAGAUCGAUCUUAUCUUUAUUCUUUUUUUUGGGGGGUUAACCAAAAGAGGUUAAUUCCAUGAGCAUGAGUUUCAAACUUGACUUUUGAUUAAAUUAAUAAUCAGCUUUGCUUUCAUUUUAUCUUUUCUCCCACCGUCAGAAGAAUAACAUAGAAGCAUUUCCAC
This 214-nucleotide long non-coding RNA is filed under the name Citrus maxima (pomelo). RNAcentral describes it as "long non-coding RNA (CMAX_LNC004358)". Lineage: Eukaryota; Viridiplantae; Streptophyta; Magnoliopsida; Sapindales; Rutaceae. The record is from RNAcentral.